AUCCCAGCCAAACCUUUUUUGUGUUUUUCUGAUUCAUGGGAGGCAGAAAUCAACAUGGUUAUUCGCUGAUAGCAUAUCUUCUCACUGAAAGGGUCUGCUUUUAGUAUGUAACCGCAGAUUU
This 121-nucleotide small nucleolar RNA is filed under the name Cucumis melo (muskmelon). The record is from RNAcentral. Lineage: Eukaryota; Viridiplantae; Streptophyta; Magnoliopsida; Cucurbitales; Cucurbitaceae.